UUUUUUUUUCUUUUUGCAAGAAUUCUGAAAGUUUCAGACAAUGCAAUGAAUUAAGACAUGACAAUAGAUUCAGUAAGUAUAAAAAUACUGCUUACAUAGCAGGUCACGUACUUUUCUAUCGCCAUAACACCAUGAAGAUCACAUUGAACGGAACAAAGGCAUGGCGACAGGAACAACUGAGAGCUCACAUCUUGAUCCACAAGAAGGAGGCAGAGACGCUGAAAAUGGCACUGACAUCUGAAACCUCAAAGCCUGCCCCCAGUGACACACCUCCUCCAGCAAGGCCACACCUCCUAAUCUUCCCAAACAGUUCCACCAACUGGGGACCAAGCAUUCAACUAAGUGAGCCUAUGGCGGGUAUUAUCAAACCACCUUAAAUACCCACCGUGCUAGAGUCACUGAAAGUGAAGUGGAAUCCGAGCAUCUUGGCUGCAGGAUCUGAGUGUUAAUGACUUAGAAGAUGGUGCCUCUCUGGUGCAUGCUACCUCUUCCGUGCAUUAGGAAGAGGAAGGUCAUUGCUAUUUGCAGACCCUCGCUGAGCACCUGAUGAAGCUGAG
RNAcentral lists this long non-coding RNA (557 nucleotides) under Mus pahari (shrew mouse). Its description in RNAcentral is "lncRNA (MGP_PahariEiJ_G0003801.1)". Lineage: Eukaryota; Metazoa; Chordata; Mammalia; Rodentia; Muridae. The record is from RNAcentral.